This 253-nucleotide ribosomal RNA is filed under the name uncultured bacterium. Its description in RNAcentral is "partial 16S ribosomal RNA". It matches the Rfam family "Archaeal small subunit ribosomal RNA", at positions 474 to 727 of the family's 1478-position model. The record is from RNAcentral.
UACCAGCACCCCGAGUGGUCGGGACGAUUAUUGGGCCUAAAGCAUCCGUAGCCGGUCCUACAAGUCUUCCGUUAAAUCCACCUGCUUAACAGAUGGGCUGCGGAAGAUACUAUAGGGCUAGGAGGCGGGAGAGGCAAGCGGUACUCAGUGGGUAGGGGUAAAAUCCGCUGAUCCAUAGAAGACCACCAGUGGCGAAGGCGGCUUGCCAGAACGCGCUCGACGGUGAGGGAUGAAAGCUGGGGGAGCAAACCGG